Molecule: transfer RNA, 87 nt
Organism: Gaeumannomyces graminis
Lineage: Eukaryota; Fungi; Ascomycota; Sordariomycetes; Magnaporthales; Magnaporthaceae
Rfam family: tRNA
About the family: Transfer RNA (tRNA) molecules are approximately 80 nucleotides in length. Their secondary structure includes four short double-helical elements and three loops (D, anti-codon, and T loops). Further hydrogen bonds mediate the characteristic L-shaped molecular structure. tRNAs have two regions of fundamental functional importance: the anti-codon, which is responsible for specific mRNA codon recognition, and the 3' end, to which the tRNAs corresponding amino acid is attached (by aminoacyl-tRNA synthetases). tRNAs cope with the degeneracy of the genetic code in two manners: having more than one tRNA (with a specific anti-codon) for a particular amino acid; and 'wobble' base-pairing, i.e. permitting non-standard base-pairing at the 3rd anti-codon position.
Source: Rfam
GCCCGCUUGGCUUAGUGGUAAAGCGUAUCACUAGUAGGGGAACCUUAGGAUAUGAUAAGAUCGUCAGUUCGAUUCUGACAGUGGGCA